AAGAAACUGACGAAUUCAAGUUCUUUUUCGGUUUGUUUGUGGAACACCGAGAACUGAGGGAUUUUUAUGAGAAAAACCAGGAAACUGGGGACUUUUAUUGCUUAGUUUGUGGAGGGAUGGGAGUGAAAGUAGGGAAAAUGUUUAAGGGUUGUUUGGGCCUUGUUCAGCAUGCCAUAGCAAUUCUGAGAACAAAGAGAAAAAGGGCCCAUAGGGCUCUUGGUCAGGUUAUUUGCAGGGUUCUUGGAUGGGAUUUUGGUAGACUUCCU
RNAcentral lists this unclassified non-coding RNA (266 nucleotides) under Hevea brasiliensis (rubber tree). The record is from RNAcentral. Lineage: Eukaryota; Viridiplantae; Streptophyta; Magnoliopsida; Malpighiales; Euphorbiaceae.